GAUUGGGGGUAUGGGGACAAUAUGGGGUCACUGCGGGGAUUGGGGUAUGGGGACCUUAUGGGGUCAUUAUGGGAAUGGGGGCAUUAUGGGGUCAUUAUAGGGAAUGGGGAUAUGGAGACUUUAUGGGGUCAUUAUAGGGAAUGGAGUUAUGGGGUCAUUAUGGGGUCAUUAUGGGGAAUGGGGAUAUGGGGACUUUAUGGGGUCAUUAUGGGGUAUGGGGAUAUGGGGACCCUAUGGGGUCAUUAUGGGGUCAUUAUAGGGACUGGGGACAUUAUGGGGUCAUUAUGGGGAUUGGGGACAGUGUGGGGUUAUGGAGAUAUGGGGACCUUAUGGGGUCAUUAUGGAGUAUGGGGGCGUGAGAACAAUAUGAGAACAUUAUGGGGAAUGGGGACAUUAUAGGGGAUGUGCGGGUCUAUGGGGCAUUGUAG
This 428-nucleotide long non-coding RNA is filed under the name Phasianus colchicus (ring-necked pheasant). Its description in RNAcentral is "lncRNA (ENSPCLG00000015120.1)". Lineage: Eukaryota; Metazoa; Chordata; Aves; Galliformes; Phasianidae. The record is from RNAcentral.